CUAUCCCUCUGAAAUCGGCAGCUAGAUCUAGUGGUGUUUGUGUUGAGAAAGGGACCUCCUCUCUCUUGUGAUAGCAAAAAAUAUUGGCAUGUUACUCGUUUGAAUUUGGUUAGAGAAUUUGGAGAGCCACUGUGUUUUUGGGGCUACUCAGCACCAUUUCAGCGGGGUCAAUGGAAUUCAGGUGGCAGCUGUGACAAAGAAACUGAAUCAAUAACGAAUGAGCAGUACCUUACACCAUACCCAACAAACUACUCUCCUAGAAUGCUGGGAAAAGGAGAAAAUAAGAAAUAGCACAUCCCACUUAAUCUUUCUAGAAGGUAUUCCAGAACAGCAAAACUGAUUCAUAUUGUAGUUAAUCCAUUGUACUGUGGGCAACAUGGGAGCACACAUAUGCUAGAAUGUUUGUUUGCACCAAUUUAUAAUUCUGUCCAAAAAGUUGGAUAUCCAACUACAAGGAGACAGGCAGCCUGAUACCGCAUUGCUAUGGUAUUUUUUACCUCUUUU
Panicum virgatum (switchgrass) is the source of this 504-nucleotide long non-coding RNA. RefSeq lists it as uncharacterized. The record is from RefSeq and is a predicted model, not a curated record. The transcript has 2 exons. Lineage: Eukaryota; Viridiplantae; Streptophyta; Magnoliopsida; Poales; Poaceae.